UCCUGCUAAAGGAAUCUUUUGCUUGUCCUAAAAGCACAGGUGAAUAAGGGGUGGGCAAGUCUGGUGUCAGCCGCCGCGGUAAUACCAGCACCUCGAGUGGUCAGGACGUUUAUUGGGCCUAAAGCAUCCGUAGCCGGCUCUGCAAGUCUCCGGUUAAAUCCACCUGCUCAACAGAUGGGCCGCUGGAGAUACUACAGAGCUAGGGAGUGGGAGAGGUAGACGGUAUUCAGUGGGUAGGGGUAAAAUCCUCUGAUCCUCUGAGGACCACCAGUGGCGAAGGCGGUCUACCAGAACACGUUCGACGGUGAGGGAUGAAAGCUGGGGGAGCAAACCGGAUUAGAUACCCCCGUAGUCC
RNAcentral lists this ribosomal RNA (355 nucleotides) under uncultured bacterium. RNAcentral's name for it is "bacterial SSU rRNA". It matches the Rfam family "Archaeal small subunit ribosomal RNA", at positions 390 to 747 of the family's 1478-position model. The record is from RNAcentral.